UCCAGGGUAGCCUAGUAGUCAUAGCAUCUGCCCGGUAAGCUGAAGGUCGUGGGUUCGAUUCCCAUCCCUUGGCA
Molecule: transfer RNA, 74 nt
Filed under: Cordylochernes scorpioides
Lineage: Eukaryota; Metazoa; Arthropoda; Arachnida; Pseudoscorpiones; Chernetidae
Description: tRNA-Thr
Rfam family: tRNA
About the family: Transfer RNA (tRNA) molecules are approximately 80 nucleotides in length. Their secondary structure includes four short double-helical elements and three loops (D, anti-codon, and T loops).
Source: RNAcentral